GACGAACGCUGGCGGCGUGCUUAACACAUGCAAGUCGAACGGAAAGGCCCUGCUUUUGUGGGGUGCUCGAGUGGCGAACGGGUGAGUAACACGUGAGUAACCUGCCCUUGACUUUGGGAUAACUUCAGGAAACUGGGGCUAAUACCGGAUAGGAGCUCCUGCUGCAUGGUGGGGGUUGGAAAGUUUCGGCGGGUGGGGAUGGACUCGCGGCUUAUCAGCUUGUUGGUGGGGUAGUGGCUUACCAAGGCUUUGACGGGUAGCCGGCCUGAGAGGGUGACCGGCCACAUUGGGACUGAGAUACGGCGCAGACUCCUACGGGAGGCAGCAGUGGGGAAUAUUGCACAAUGGGCGGAAGCCUGAUGCAGCAACGCCGCGUGCGGGAUGACGGCCUUCGGGUUGUAAACCGCUUUCGCCUGUGACGAAGCGUGAGUGACGGUAAUGGGUAAAGAAGCACCGGCUAACUACGUG
RNAcentral lists this ribosomal RNA (468 nucleotides) under uncultured bacterium. Its description in RNAcentral is "partial 16S ribosomal RNA". It matches the Rfam family "Bacterial small subunit ribosomal RNA", at positions 28 to 507 of the family's 1533-position model. The record is from RNAcentral.